RNAcentral lists this ribosomal RNA (509 nucleotides) under fungal sp. 695 YZ-2011. RNAcentral describes it as "eukaryotic LSU rRNA". The stretch from base 152 to 305 matches the Rfam family "5.8S ribosomal RNA". Lineage: Eukaryota; Fungi. The record is from RNAcentral.
GCGGAGGGAUCAUUACCGAGUUUACAACUCCCAAACCCCUGUGAACAUACCUAUCGUUGCCUCGGCGGUGCCCGCUCCGGCGGCCCGCCAGAGGACCCCCAAACUCUUGUUUUAUACAGUAUCUUCUGAGUAACACGAUUAAAUAAAUCAAAACUUUCAACAACGGAUCUCUUGGUUCUGGCAUCGAUGAAGAACGCAGCGAAAUGCGAUAAGUAAUGUGAAUUGCAGAAUUCAGUGAAUCAUCGAAUCUUUGAACGCACAUUGCGCCCGCCAGUAUUCUGGCGGGCAUGCCUGUUCGAGCGUCAUUUCAACCCUCAAGCCCCCGGGCUUGGUGUUGGGGAUCGGCGUGCCCUCGCGGCGCGCCGUCCCCUAAAUCUAGUGGCGGUCUCGCUGUAGCUUCCUCUGCGUAGUAGCAACACUCGCACUGGAUCGCAGCGCGGCCACGCCGUUAAACCCCCCACUUCUGAAAGUUUGACCUCGGAUCAGGUAGGAAUACCCGCUGAACUUAA